GUGUUGAGGGUGUUUAAAAACCCUUUCCUUCCCCUCUCCCCAGGGAAUUCCUUGGGGAAACUGGUGGGAGGAAUACUGUUGGAAAUUUCAUUUUCUAUUAUGAGUUAUCAGUGACAGAGAGUACGUGUGUGUUUGCAUGUUCUGGCAAUACUGGUGUCUGAUGUGUGACCUGUUUUUUAUUAAAGUUAUAGCUUUUGCAGGGAGUUAGGGUUAUUAUUGUGCUUUGAGAGAACAGUUGUCAAACUUGGACUCACUCUGGCAUGUUGAAGGUGAUUUCAGGUUCUUUGCCCAGGAGAUGUAUAUGCUAAUAGGAAAAAUGCUCUUUCUUCUCUUCAGGCCAAGUUCAGAAAGAUUAUACUAGCUCUGUGGAUUGCAAAAGGAAAAUAAAAGAACAGACAUGGCCUGGGAGGCAGAUUUGGAAGGGAAGAAAAAGGAAAAAAAGUGAAGGCAAUAAAAAUGAAGACACCUGGCUUGGGAAUCUUCACCCAUCACUGGAGCCACUGCCACUUGGAAGGAGCCGGUUGUCUCCCUGGACCUGAGGUAAGGUUUCCCACUUAGUGAUUCCCUUCUUACAGACUACACCUGCAUUUUCAUUUUUGCCUGCCCCAUUGGAUGGUAACAAAAAUACUUGCGACUUUUCAGUGUUACUUACCUUAAAAUUAAAAAAAAAAUCAGGAAACUUCAAAUAUGAUAUUGUUUAACAAAUACAAUGACAAUUCUUUGAAAUCUGACUGCUUUGGUCCUUAAAUAGAUACCAUUACCUUUCAUUACUUAGAACUGCCUCUGAGGAUGGUUUGCAAUUUAAAUACGUAAAACCACUAGAAUGAGUAAUAGGAAAAUCAAUCUUUAUUCUCUCAGAUUAAAUAAACUUGCUCAUGAAAAAUACCUUAUGUGGACACCAAAAUGUAGCUAGAGCUGUUUUUCUGGAGGUCAUUAGACAACAGUGGAUAAAUCUUUUAAAGUAGGUGAUUUCUUUUUGUGGGAAGGCUGAUCCAUGGGAGCC
RNAcentral lists this long non-coding RNA (1003 nucleotides) under Canis lupus familiaris (dog). RNAcentral's name for it is "lncRNA (ENSCAFG00030013723.1)". Lineage: Eukaryota; Metazoa; Chordata; Mammalia; Carnivora; Canidae. The record is from RNAcentral.